GACCGCGUAGUUCAGUUGGAAGAGCAUUGGGCUGGUAUUCCAAAGGUCGUAGGUUCGAAUCCCACCGUGGCCG
RNAcentral lists this transfer RNA (73 nucleotides) under Paramuricea clavata. It matches the Rfam family "tRNA". Rfam says of the family: Transfer RNA (tRNA) molecules are approximately 80 nucleotides in length. Lineage: Eukaryota; Metazoa; Cnidaria; Anthozoa; Malacalcyonacea; Plexauridae. The record is from Rfam by way of RNAcentral.